AAGCUCGUAGCUCAGUCGGCAGAGCAUAUCUCUCAUAAAGAUCCGCGCGUCAGUUCAAUUCUGACCGAGCUUA
This 73-nucleotide transfer RNA is filed under the name Pseudomonadota bacterium. RNAcentral's name for it is "Proteobacteria bacterium (activated sludge metagenome) tRNA-Ile". It matches the Rfam family "tRNA". Rfam says of the family: Transfer RNA (tRNA) molecules are approximately 80 nucleotides in length. The record is from RNAcentral. Lineage: Bacteria; Pseudomonadati; Pseudomonadota.